UUUGUAUCAGACAAGCCACUAUAUAUUUAUAUAUUUUAAAUAAGAGUUUUUUUCUUACUUUUGUCUAAUAAAUUAACUUUAUAUGGUCUCAACAGGAGCACACAUUUCUUUGUGCAUAGUAUCAUGAUCAAGAGACCUUCUAAAAUGGAUCGUAUUGUAGAACAUUUUAAUGUUGUGUUUCUUCAUUUUGUUAUAGUGCUGCGAAAAAUUAAAAUGGAAAAGAAAACCGAAGAACUGGAUCAUGAAAGAACUGAAUGAAGCUGAGCUGCAUCAUGAAGAAAGACAGGAAUGAGUUAUAUACACCAGUCUCUGCCUCAGUGGCCAGGAUCUUUAUGGCUGCUGAUUCUUUGGCUCUGGGUUCAUCUGCCGAACAUCAUGGAUCUGUUGCUAAAAGUAGACAUUUUCUUUUCCAUUCUACAAUUGAGACUCAGAUGCCGAAGGAGAGAGAGAGAGAGAAUCUUUUCAGCACUGUUGUUGUGCCAUUAAAAGUCUUGGACUUUAAAUGCAAAAAGUGAUUGGGGAAAAUAUCUUCUUUCCCACCUGCUAACUGUACAGUAUGAAGAAUAUUUUUUGAAAGUUCAAAUGUGGUUCAACCGACUCGGGACCAAGAAUGACAAGUUAGCUCAAAGUCAAUGUGUUCUGCAGUUUAGGAUGUGGAAAGUAAAUCUGCAUUCAAAAGUCAGGUGUUUUUUCAUAUUAGUCGAGAGAUACAUAUUCAAUAAAGGAAAGAGGGGAAGAACAUAAAUGAUACCCAAAGGGCAUUCUUGGUCUAGAAUAGCUUUAAAGUGCAGAAGGUUUUAGGGCCCACUGUAAAUAUGGUAGUGAAGAUAUAAUGCUGAACUGUUUAAUCUUUGUCUAAGCCACUGGGAAAAAUAGGAGAGUGUUUAAAAGUCUGUUUGAAACAGAUGUAACCUGUUUUUAGCUUCCUGAUCUUACUUCUUUUGCAUGCACAACUUUGAUAGCCUUUAUAAAUGGGAGGGUUUAUUAAAUAAAUAAAUAAAUUUCAAAAGUAUCUUGCUCAUGCAACUGAAGGUCUGUUUUGUAAGUGUUAGUGGUGCCUCUUUUUGUUAUAUCUUCCGAAAUUACUGAAAGAGAUGCUUUCUAAAACAACAACAAAGCCCAAUCUGAUUAAUUGAAGAAGAAUUCGACUGGAUCUUAUCGGACUUUUCCUAGUCCCUGAGACCCUAACUUGUGAGGUUUUUUAGUAACAAUCACAAGUCAGGCUCUUGGGACCUAGGCGGAGGGGAACCAGCAACUUUGGACUUUAUUGAUUAACUUUCUACGAUAUUAGCAGCAUAAAAAAGAUAUAUUUGUCGCUGGGGGAGAAAUGUGAUGUUUUGGCCCACAGAGAAAUGCAUUGUGCAGAAUAGAGAUGGUAACGUGCUGUGUUACAGGUUCAUAUAUUCAAACAGCUGUACUGUACUCUUUAAUGUUUUGAAUUAAUGUUGGGCCUUCAUUCAAGUGCUGGAGAAUAAAGCAUCCCUGUGUUUAGAUAAUGAAA
Lacerta agilis (Sand lizard) is the source of this 1501-nucleotide long non-coding RNA. RefSeq lists it as uncharacterized. The record is from RefSeq and is a predicted model, not a curated record. The transcript is spliced from 2 exons. NCBI's taxonomy places the organism in Eukaryota, Metazoa, Chordata, Lepidosauria, Squamata, Lacertidae.